This 253-nucleotide ribosomal RNA is filed under the name uncultured bacterium. RNAcentral describes it as "partial 16S ribosomal RNA". It matches the Rfam family "Bacterial small subunit ribosomal RNA", at positions 524 to 776 of the family's 1533-position model. The record is from RNAcentral.
UACGAAGGGGGCUAGCGUUGCUCGGAAUCACUGGGCGUAAAGCGCACGUAGGCGGAUUGCUAAGUCAGGGGUGAAAUCCUGGAGCUCAACUCCAGAACUGCCUUUGAUACUGGUGACCUUGAGUCCGGGAGAGGUGAGUGGAACUGCGAGUGUAGAGGUGAAAUUCGUAGAUAUUCGCAAGAACACCAGUGGCGAAGGCGGCUCACUGGCCCGGUACUGACGCUGAGGUGCGAAAGCGUGGGGAGCAAACAGG